CACACACAUCAUAUAGCAAAUUAUAAAAAGAAAGAAAGAAAAAGAAAAGAAUGGGAAAUGGGAAGAUGGAUUUCCAGGCCAAUAUGUGAGGGGAGAAGAAAGGGACUGAUAAGAAAGCAGGAAGCCGGCACCGCGUGGGUCAGUGAGUCCAGCUCAGCGUCUAGGCUGCGGCCACGACAGCAGCACAUGGGGCUCAUUCCAGGAUGAGAUGCUAACUAAAAGUGACACGUGUGCUUCAUAGAAACCGACAGCCCUACCUCAAUGUAACUGGUAUUAUUUUUGCAGGUGAGAUGAAUGUACGUACUUAUGUUUAGGAUUUAACAGUCCCUUUGCACAUACCCAUGGGUCCGUUUGUGUAUUCUCUGGGGUGCAAACAUCUCUUGGGAUACUCUUUGGAACAGACACAUAGAUUACCAGAGGGGUAUGUGGGCUGGCCCAAGAGGACACAGGAAGGUGGAGGGGAGUAGAGGAUUUCUCUUUGGCACCACCCACGUACUGCCACUGGACGUCCCAGCAAAGCUUCUGGAGAAGAGAAGAAUGAACGUUGCUAUUCCAGUCUUCUGUGCCGCUAACAACAACAAUACCCGAGACAGGGAGAUUGACAAGAAUAAAGGUUGGGGCCAGCCAACCUGGUGAAGGCGUGGUGGCUAAGGCGGCUGGAUCCCACAUGGCCGACUGCAUGGCUGG
This is a long non-coding RNA of Tupaia belangeri chinensis (Chinese tree shrew), 687 nucleotides long. RefSeq lists it as uncharacterized. The record is from RefSeq and is a predicted model, not a curated record. Lineage: Eukaryota; Metazoa; Chordata; Mammalia; Scandentia; Tupaiidae. The transcript has 4 exons.